This 253-nucleotide ribosomal RNA is filed under the name uncultured bacterium. RNAcentral describes it as "partial 16S ribosomal RNA". It matches the Rfam family "Bacterial small subunit ribosomal RNA", at positions 524 to 776 of the family's 1533-position model. The record is from RNAcentral.
UACGUAGGGCGCAAGCGUUAUCCGGAAUUAUUGGGCGUAAAGAGCUCGUAGGCGGUUUGUCGCGUCUGCCGUGAAAGUCCGGGGCUCAACUCCGGAUCUGCGGUGGGUACGGGCAGACUAGAGUGAUGUAGGGGAGACUGGAAUUCCUGGUGUAGCGGUGAAAUGCGCAGAUAUCAGGAGGAACACCGAUGGCGAAGGCAGGUCUCGGGGCAUUAACUGACGCUGAGGAGCGAAAGCAUGGGGAGCGAACAGG